Molecule: ribosomal RNA, 515 nt
Filed under: uncultured bacterium
Lineage: Bacteria
Description: partial 16S ribosomal RNA
Rfam family: Bacterial small subunit ribosomal RNA
Source: RNAcentral
GAUGAACGCUGGCGGCGUGCCUAAUACAUGCAAGUCGAGCGAAUGGAUUAAGAGCUUGCUCUUAUGAAGUUAGCGGCGGACGGGUGAGUAACACGUGGGUAACCUGCCCAUAAGACUGGGAUAACUCCGGGAAACCGGGGCUAAUACCGGAUAACAUUUUGAACCGCAUGGUUCGAAAUUGAAAGGCGGCUUCGGCUGUCACUUAUGGAUGGACCCGCGUCGCAUUAGCUAGUUGGUGAGGUAACGGCUCACCAAGGCAACGAUGCGUAGCCGACCGGGGGGGGUGAUCGGCCACACUGGGACUGGGACACGGCCCAGACUCCUACGGGAGGCAGCAGUGGGGAAUCUUCCGCAAUGGACGAAAGUCUGACGGAGCAACGCCGCGUGAGUGAUGAAGGCUUUCGGGUCGUAAAACUCUGUUGUUAGGGAAGAACAAGUGCUAGUUGAAUAAGCUGGCACCUUGACGGUACCUAACCAGAAAGCCACGGCUAACUACGUGCCAGCAGCCGCCGUAA